UGCUCAUCUGCAAAGCUACAUGUGCUGAAGGAGAGGAAGACCCUUUGCAAAAAGUGUGCCACUCGGAGGACUCUCCCAAGUGCAAAGGGUGUUUUCAGGCCCUUGUAGAAGGAGACCAGAAUGUGGAGUACAAGGGGACCAUCUGGGACAAGGACUGCUUCACAUGUGGAGCUGCAAGCAAGUCAUCAGGACAGGAAGCUUUUUCCCUAAAGGGGAAGACUUCCACUGCAUGACUUGCCACAAGGCCAAGUUUGCCAAGCACUGUGUCAAGUGCAAGAAAGGUGUGGCAGAGGCUCCAGUGUGGUGGCCUAUGAAGGACAAUCCUGGCAGGACCACUGUUUCCACUGCAAAAAAA
This 355-nucleotide long non-coding RNA is filed under the name Marmota monax (woodchuck). Lineage: Eukaryota; Metazoa; Chordata; Mammalia; Rodentia; Sciuridae. The record is from RNAcentral.